GCAAUAGGCGUCUAGGGUUCCGUCCGCAGGCAUGCGGAGCCUGGUCCGAGAGUCGCCGACCUCUCCCAGAGGGGGGUUACACGGAGGGACAAAAGCCCGGGAGAU
RNAcentral lists this small RNA (105 nucleotides) under Halorhodospira halophila. RNAcentral's name for it is "Guanidine-I sequence". It matches the Rfam family "Guanidine-I riboswitch aptamer". From Rfam's summary of the family: This family represents a conserved RNA structure found upstream of the ykkC and yxkD genes in Bacillus subtilis and related genes in other bacteria. The function of this family is unclear although it has been suggested that it may function to switch on efflux pumps and detoxification systems in response to harmful environmental molecules. Nelson showed that this riboswitch senses and responds to guanidine and it was renamed Guanidine-I riboswitch. The record is from RNAcentral. Lineage: Bacteria; Pseudomonadati; Pseudomonadota; Gammaproteobacteria; Chromatiales; Ectothiorhodospiraceae. RNAcentral also lists the same sequence under 1 other name.